This 233-nucleotide long non-coding RNA is filed under the name Homo sapiens (human). RNAcentral's name for it is "HSALNT0009141". Lineage: Eukaryota; Metazoa; Chordata; Mammalia; Primates; Hominidae. The record is from RNAcentral.
ACACCAGUGGGAAAAUAAAAGAAUAUUCUACAUGGGUGGCAUCCACUCAGAGCAGCACCAAGGAGGAAAAGCUGUUCAUGGUUCGAGUACGAAUAAAUUCUUCUGGUUCCAAGAAGUGGCAUUUCAAAACGGAGACCGGAUUCUCUUCUGGAAGCUGUUCCAUUACAGCAAACCACUUUACACCCAUACCACAGCCCGCAAAAUUCUCAGCAAGGAAGUCUCUUGCCAAAUCA